RNAcentral lists this ribosomal RNA (439 nucleotides) under uncultured bacterium. RNAcentral describes it as "partial 16S ribosomal RNA". It matches the Rfam family "Bacterial small subunit ribosomal RNA", at positions 339 to 795 of the family's 1533-position model. The record is from RNAcentral.
CUACGGGGGGCACCAGUGAGGAAUAUUGCACAAUGGGGGGAACCCUGAUGCAGCAACGCCGCGUGGAGGAUGACGCAUUUCGGUGUGUAAACUCCUUUUAUAUGUCAAGAAAAUGACGGUAGCAUAUGAAUAAGCGCCGGCUAACUCCGUGCCAGCAGCCGCGGUAAUACGGAGGGCGCAAGCGUUACUCGGAAUCACUGGGCGUAAAGGACGCGUAGGCGGGUUGAAAAGUCAGGUGUGAAAGUCUACAGCUUAACUGUAGAACUGCACUUGAAACUCUCAACCUAGAGUAUGGGAGGGGCAGAUGGAAUUAGUGGUGUAGGGGUAAAAUCCGUAGAUAUCACUAGGAAUACCUAAAGCGAAGGCGAUCUGCUGGAACAUUACUGACGCUAAGGCGUGAAAGCGUGGGGAGCAAACAGGAUUAGAUACCCGUGUAGUC